AGAGUUUGAUCAUGGCUCAGGACGAACGCUGGCGGCGUGCCUAACACAUGCAAGUCGAACGGGACCGGGGGCAACUUCGGUUCAGUGGCGGACGGGUGCGUAACACGUGAGGAACAUGACCUUCGGCGGGGGAUAGCCGGCCCAACGGCCGGGUAAUACCGCGUACGACCUUUCGGGGACAUCCCUGGAUGGUGAAAGCAGCAAUGCGCCGAUGGAGUGCCUCGCGGCCUAUCAGCUAGUUGGUGGGGUAACGGCCUACCAAGGCGACGACGGGUAGCUGGUCUGAGAGGAUGAUCAGCCACACUGGCACUGAGACACGGGCCAGACUCCUACGGGAGGCAGCAGUGGGGAAUUUUGCGCAAUGGGCGAAAGCCUGACGCAGUAACGCCGCGUGGAGGAUGAAGGCCUUCGGGUUGUAAAGCACUUUUAGUGGGGAUGAAAAGCUCAGGGUUAACACCUCUGGGUCUUGACCUAACCCACAGAAAAAGCACCGGCUAACUCUGUGCCAGCAGCGGCGGUAAUAC
This 524-nucleotide ribosomal RNA is filed under the name uncultured bacterium. RNAcentral describes it as "bacterial SSU rRNA". It matches the Rfam family "Bacterial small subunit ribosomal RNA", at positions 8 to 526 of the family's 1533-position model. The record is from RNAcentral.